RNAcentral lists this ribosomal RNA (1033 nucleotides) under uncultured bacterium. RNAcentral describes it as "bacterial SSU rRNA". It matches the Rfam family "Bacterial small subunit ribosomal RNA", at positions 410 to 1453 of the family's 1533-position model. The record is from RNAcentral.
GACGGCCCUAUGGUGUAAACUGCUUUUAUACACCAAGAAAAAAACACUACGUGUAGGUGCCGACGGUAGUGUAUGAAUAAGCAUCGGGCUAACUCCGUGCCCAGCAGCCGCGGUAAUACGGAGGAUGCGAGCGUUAUCCGGGAUUCAUUGGGUUUAAAGGGUGCGUAGGCGGUCUUUCAAGUCAGUGGUGAAAUCUUGCCGCUUAACGGUAAAAUUGCCAUUGAUACUGAAAGACUUGAGUACAGUUGAGGUAAGCGGAAUGUGUAGUGUAGCGGUGAAAUGCUUAGAUAUUACACAGAACACCAAUUGCGAAGGCAGCUUACUAAACUGGCAACUGACGCUGAUGCACGAAAGCGUGGGGAGCGAACAGGAUUAGAUACCCUGGUAGUCCACGCCGUAAGCGAUGCUCACUUGCUGUUUGCGAUACACAGCAAGCGGCCAAGCGAAAGCAUUAAGUGAGCCACCUGGGGAGUACGAUCGCAAGGUUGAAACUCAAAGGAAUUGACGGGGGCCCGCACAAGCGGAGGAACAUGUGGUUUAAUUCGAUGAUACGCGAGGAACCUUACCUGGGCUUAAAUGUAGAGCGACAGAUUGUGAAAGCAGUCCUUCUUCGGACGAUCUACAAGGUGCUGCAUGGUUGUCGUCAGCUCGUGCCGUGAGGUGUCGGGUUAAGUCCCAUAACGAGCGCAACCCUUAUCGUUAGUUGCCAGCGGGUCAAGCCGGGGACUCUAGCGAGACUGCCGCCGUAAGGUGUGAGGAAGGUGGGGAUGACGUCAAAUCAGCACGGCCCUUAUGUCCAGGGCUACACACGUGUUACAAUGGCCGAUACAAAGGGCAGCUACCAGGUGACUGGAUGCUAAUCUCUAAAGUCGGUCUCAGUUCGGAUCGAAGUCUGCAACCCGACUUCGUGAAGCUGGAUUCGCUAGUAAUCGCAUAUCAGCCAUGAUGCGGUGAAUACGUUCCCGGGCCUUGUACACACCGCCCGUCAAACAAUGGAAGCUGGGGGUACCUGAAGUCUGUAACCGCGAGGAGC